Canis lupus familiaris (dog) is the source of this 3262-nucleotide long non-coding RNA. RefSeq lists it as uncharacterized. The record is from RefSeq and is a predicted model, not a curated record. Lineage: Eukaryota; Metazoa; Chordata; Mammalia; Carnivora; Canidae. The transcript has 3 exons.
AGAGGCUGGGGCUGGGAACCCGGUGGGCUAGGGAAUGGGGACUUGGCGCCGGGAAGCAGCCUGUGCCUGCCUGCCUGCAAGCCCACCCGCAGGAGGGGAGGCUCACUUACGGGGCCUUCCUGCCUCUGCUCUGCUCCCUGGAGGAUGGCUCCCCUCACUCCGGGCUCAACUGCCACCAACUGCCCGCUGGUCAGGAUUCCUGGCCUCUGAUUGGGCCCCAUCCCUGUCAAUCCCCUGGGAAACCGAGUCCCUGGGCCAAGGCCUCCCUCCGCUACCUUCUUCAUUCAUUCAAUUGGAGCCUGUGGAUUCAUCUCCCAGGUUCCAAGGAUUGGGACAUGGAUAUCUUUGAGGCACCACCAUUCUGACUGGCACAGCCUCUUAAUGGGAUCGCCCACAUCGCCAUCUGCUAUCCUGCGGUUCACUCUCCGUGCCACAGCCAGGCUCAUCUUCUUGACAAUCUGAGUGUGCGGCUGAAAACCAUUCAAGAGAAAGAGGAAGGCAGCAUUGAUCUCUGCAGCUCUCUGGUGGCUCCAUGUCUUAGACCUUUGUCUGACCAACGUGGUGGCCAGUCACCACCAAAGGGAAGCUCUCACCUGGCACGUCCUCCCAGCCACGUGUGCGAGAGCUGAGCUCCCCUAGGCCUCACCAUUGACCAGCGGUGGUUGUCCUGUCCCAGGGCCCAGUGCUUACCCAGACAUGUGACACGUAAGUGCACCUGUCUCUGCAGGGUGAUCAGCCCAUGGGGGCCAAGGCAGAGGAAAUCGAAUGGAUUAUAGGCCUGCAAUGGGGAAUCGGGGGUUGGAGGAGGACCCAGGACUGUGGGAUCCCAGCUGUGUGACCAUCCUUCCAUCAGCCUCAGGAUCGCCAUGUGGUACAAUGAAGGGGCUGGAGUGGACAGAGUCCGUCCCCUCCUGCUCUGACAUUCUGUGUUCCCUGGGUGCCCACAGUAUGGUCUGUGACUCCAGACUUUGAGCCCACCCGGAACAGUGUCCUGAAAAAGGGACCUGAUUUAACUUCUCAGAUAGAAAUCCCUCCCCAUGAAGAAGUGGCCCCAGCACAGGCUCUUCUCCAGGCCUCGCCUUCUAUCACAGCCACUGGAAAGACAAGCAAGAGGCGGCCCUCACCACUGCCCCUGCCUCAGGCCCAGAUGCACCCCCCAGGAGUGUGCUCUGGAAGGAAGGUUCAGGCCGCACACGGGAGGUGUGGGCUGCGUGCGUGCUUGUUCACGUGUGCAUUCGAUCGCAGAUGGCCUGAGAGUCUUGCUGCCCCCAAUCCCCACACACAGGCGGAGUCUAAGAGCCCGGCCCUCCCCUCUGGGCUGGCCUAGGUGUCUUGGGUGCUCAAUAAGAGGCAGGAUGGGUGUCAGCUUGCAACCCCAGAGGCCAGGUCAUAAGAAGCCUUUCUGUGCCCCUGUCAACCUCCUGCAAUGCUCUUUCUGGGGGAUGCAGCUGCCACAUAAAAGGUUAGGUGCCCCUCCCCCCUGCCCCGAGAUGCUGGGGCCCAGAGGCUCUGCGCUACCGCUCGGCCAGCAGUCCCCCUGGGCCGGGCCUUCCAGCCAUGCGAGGGAAGCAGCCACCAUCACCCUUCCCGACCAGGCCACACACCAGCCCUGCUCCACUCAGUAGGAGAGGAGGAGUCAAAGAAACAUCCAACUGAGCCCUGCCCUAGUCCCGACCCAGGAAAUCAUGAGAUCUAAUGAAGGAGCUGCGUUAAGCCAUUGGGCCUGGAGGCAAUUUGGUUUGGAGAAAUACGCAGCCAGACAGGCACGUGCCUUGUGGGCCAGGGGGCUGGCCUUGCAUUUCCUUGCGUGUUCCUGUCCAAAACUGCGUCUGUGUGUCUGUGGUGAGCGAGGGACGGGGCCCACUUUUGCAAGCACAUCAAUGUGUUUGCUUGUGUCUACACAGUUUGUGUUUCUGUGUGUUUUGAUGUGUGGCUGUGGGUGUGCGUGGGUGUGCGUGUGUCAAUGGCAAAAUAAUGAAGUGGACUCCUCCGCGUGAAAUCUCUAAUCCCACUGUUGAAGUGCCUCCUUGCUUGUUUAUGAAAAGAACCCACAUGGACCGUAAACGUAUGCACACGUGUAUGCGUCCAUACAGGGAUAGAAUUGAUUGGAAAAACAAGAAUGGAGCCUUUAAUUAGAGGAUUCUAAUGGGAAAUUUAAUUUAACUUAAUUUAGUUUAAUUUAAUUUAAUUUAAUAUAGGCAAUCACUGAGCCCCCAAUGUUUGCCGGGCACUAUGCCAGGGGUUAGGAAUCUGGAAAAGAGGAAGACCUACUACAACGUUCUGGGCAGCAUCAGGAGCACAGGAAAGACCCUGUGCAGGGUCAGUCCCACGUCAGACCCCGGGGUUCUCAGGGUAAUCACACAAGGCUCUUCGAGCCCCGCAAGCCCUGGCCCCCGUGCCUGGAAGAUUGGUCACCCUGAGUCUGUGAGUGGGCAGCUCAGGGCCACGCCAUCCCCCAAGCAGGGCAGCAGCAGCCCCCAAGGGCUUCUCAGGGGACGGUAGUGAGUGUUGUGCAAAACCAGCUCCAUGGUGGGGAGAUAGAUUUGGGAACAUUAGAGAAAACAGAAAUACUCUUUUCCUUCAUAGCUUCUCAGCACCCUUAGGACAUCACCAUACAUUGCCAGUCUCCAAGAGGGAAUAUAGAAUGUAGCAUUUCCCCAAACCAUAUAAUCCUGAAACCCCCUUUGCACUGAACAAAUGGUGGUUUUUGUAAGUCAGGUAACUUAUUUUGGAGAAAUGAUGCUACAGAAAUUAAUAGGUGUUGUGUCCAACCCUGGGGGUCAUUCAUCCAGCCUUCCCAAAUCCACCACCACCACCACCACCCACCCCAUCCAGUGGAGGUUAUGGUAGCAGCUUCAAGAAACCCAAGUCUGAAUGGGGAGACUCUUGGGAGGAGUGGGGGGGUGGCUGCGGGCAUAAAAUAAACAGCAAAACAGGAGUGAAUGUUUCUGAACUGAGGUGAGAGCUAGGGAGGAUGACCCAGCCCCCCUGCUAGCCCCCAGCACACUCCUCACACAGUUCUUCCUGCAGAGACCCCUGGGCACACGCUAGGGCUCCCCUCCCCUCCCCUCUGAGCUAGGCCAGACCAAGUAAGCCAAGGCCUGUUUUUCUCAAGCAUCCCCAUUACUUGGUGUAUUAACUAUGUCUUUUACUCUCUGUAUUUUGAUGCUUUAAUAUUGAGGGCCUUGCUGACCAUGGAGAACCCAGGCUAGAAACUAGUGUCACUCCAGGCCCUCCCCAGGCUAGAAACCAGUGUCACCUC